GGGUUGUGAGGUUAAGUGACUAAGCGUACACGGUGGAUGCCCUGGCAGUCAGAGGCGAUGAAGGGCGUGCUAAUCUGCGAUAAGCGCCGGUAAGGUGAUAUGAACCGUUAUAACCGGCGAUACCCGAAUGGGGAAACCCAGUGUGACUCGUCACACUAUCAUUAACUGAAUCCAUAGGUUAAUGAGGCGAACCGGGGGAACUGAAACAUCUAAGUACCCCGAGGAAAAGAAAUCAACCGAGAUUCCCCCAGUAGCGGCGAGCGAACGGGGAGGAGCCCAGAGCCUGAAUCAGCAUGUGUGUUAGUGGAAGCGUCUGGAAAGGCGCGCGAUACAGGGUGACAGCCCCGUACACAAAAGCGCAUGUGCUGUGAGCUCGAUGAGUAGGGCGGGACACGUGGUAUCCUGUCUGAAUAUGGGGGGACCAUCCUCCAAGGCUAAAUACUCCUGACUGACCGAUAGUGAACCAGUACCGUGAGGGAAAGGCGAAAAGAACCCCGGCGAGGGGAGUGAAAAAGAACCUGAAACCGU
This 528-nucleotide ribosomal RNA is filed under the name Salmonella enterica subsp. enterica serovar Teko. RNAcentral's name for it is "partial 23S ribosomal RNA". It matches the Rfam family "Bacterial large subunit ribosomal RNA", at positions 1 to 559 of the family's 2925-position model. The record is from RNAcentral. Lineage: Bacteria; Pseudomonadati; Pseudomonadota; Gammaproteobacteria; Enterobacterales; Enterobacteriaceae.